GCGGUUUGAGCUCAGUUAAGAGAGCGUCAGGCUAAAAUCAUAUUUCAGCCUCAGUUUAUCUGAAGGUCCUGUGUUCGAUCCACAGAAAUCGCA
Molecule: non-coding RNA, 93 nt
Organism: Nadsonia fulvescens var. elongata DSM 6958
Lineage: Eukaryota; Fungi; Ascomycota; Dipodascomycetes; Dipodascales
Source: the annotation of a GenBank genome assembly